AGAACGAACGCUGGCGGCAUGCCUAACACAUGCAAGUCGAACGAGACCUUCGGGUCUAGUGGCGCACGGGUGCGUAACGCGUGGGAAUCUGCCCUUGGGUUCGGGAUAACAGUUGGAAACGACUGCUAAUACCGGAUGAUGACUUCGGUCCAAAGAUUUAUUGCCCAGGGAUGAGCCCGCGUAGGAUUAGCUAGUUGGUGAGGUAAGGCUCACCAAGGCGACGAUCCUUAGCUGGUCUGAGAGGAUGAUCAGCCACACGUGGGACUGAGACACCGGCCCAGACCUCCGUACGGGAGCAGCGAGGUAGGGAAUAGUUGGAACAAGUGGGACGAAAGCCUGACUCCAAGACAAGUCGCCGGUCGUGGAGUAGAAGU
This 374-nucleotide ribosomal RNA is filed under the name uncultured soil bacterium. RNAcentral's name for it is "bacterial SSU rRNA". It matches the Rfam family "Bacterial small subunit ribosomal RNA", at positions 26 to 417 of the family's 1533-position model. The record is from RNAcentral.